This 253-nucleotide ribosomal RNA is filed under the name uncultured bacterium. Its description in RNAcentral is "partial 16S ribosomal RNA". It matches the Rfam family "Bacterial small subunit ribosomal RNA", at positions 524 to 776 of the family's 1533-position model. The record is from RNAcentral.
GACGAACCGAGCGAACGUUGUUCGGAAUCACUGGGCUUAAAGGGCGCGUAGGCGGGCCGCCGCGUCCGGGGUGAAAUCCUCCCGCUCAACGGGAGAACGGCCUCGGAUACGGGCGGCCUGGAGGGGGGUAGGGGCGUGCGGAACUGCGGGUGGAGCGGUGAAAUGCGUUGAUAUCCGCAGGAACUCCGGUGGCGAAGGCGGCGUGCUGGACCCCUUCUGACGCUGAGGCGCGAAAGCCAGGGGAGCGAACGGG